RNAcentral lists this ribosomal RNA (599 nucleotides) under Holtermanniella wattica. RNAcentral's name for it is "LSU rRNA". It matches the Rfam family "Eukaryotic large subunit ribosomal RNA", at positions 62 to 648 of the family's 3401-position model. The record is from RNAcentral. Lineage: Eukaryota; Fungi; Basidiomycota; Tremellomycetes; Holtermanniales.
AAACUAACAAGGAUUCCCCUAGUAACGGCGAGUGAAGCGGNAUGAGCUCAAAUUUGUAAUCUGGUGGACUCAGUUCAUCCGAGUUGUAAUCUAUAGAAGUGUUUUCCGCGCUGGNCCGUGUCUAAGUCCCUUGGACCAGGGUGUCAGAGAGGGUGAGAAUCCCGUGCUUGAUACGACCACCAGUGCUAUGUGAUACACUUUCAACGAGUCGAGUUGUUUGGGAAUGCAGCUCAAAAUGGGUGGUAAAUUCCAUCUAAAGCUAAAUAUUGGCGAGAGACCGAUAGCGAACAAGUACCGUGAGGGAAAGAUGAAAAACACUUUGGAAAGAGAGUUAAACAGUACGUGAAAUUGUUAAAAGGGAAACGAUUGAAGUCAGUCGUGCUCUCUGGGACUCANCCGGUUCUUCCGGUGUACUUCCCAGUGAGCGGGUCAACAUCAGUUUAGAUCGCUGGAUAAAGGUAUUAGGAAGGUGGCUCCCUCGGGAGUGUUAUAGCCUAGUAUCGCAUACAGUGGUUUAGACUGAGNAACGCAGCUCGCCUUUAUGGCCGGNGGUCGCCCACNNCCNAGCUUANGAUGUUGACAUAAUGGCNUUNAACGAC